AGGAAAUCUGCCAUUCUUACCCAGUCUGGCCUAGCAAGUUCAGUUCAAGGACAAUUCGGAUGGGCAACAAAUGCUGGCCUUGCCAGUGACGCCCACAUCCCCAUUUAAGAAUAAAGAAAAGAAAGUCGAGAUUUUCAUCUUAAGUAAGUUACUCUGAGGAGGUGGGAAAUGGAACCUAGCAGCUUCCUCACAGUGAGAAUGAAGGUCAUCCUCUGGCUUCUUUCAGGCUGUAAACAGCAUAUCUCAGAACAUCCCACUUGUUCUCUCAGAUAUACUCAGUACAAACACCUGGUGAAUGACAAAAAUUAGAUUUGCAGAUGAUGAAGCACUUGUAGCAAGCACAAAAGAAAGAUUAUAAGAACUAGCAGGUAGACUAGUAACAGCAGGCAUGAACUUUGGAGUGAAACGAAACAUUAGCAAAAGUGAUGCAUAUCUCAAUCACCAAGAAAUAUUCAUAUAUUCAUAGAAGAGAACUAGAACAGGUAAAAGAAUUCAAGUAUUUAGGAAGCAUACUAUCUGCAGACAGGACAUGCAAUAAAGAACUAAGAAUAAGGGUAGCAAUGGGAAAAGCUGCAUUUGGUAAGAAGAGACAGUUGCUAACUAGAAAACUGAAUAAAUUACUCAAAAAUCAACUUGUAAAGAGCUGGCUUUGGAGUGUUGUUUUGUAUGUAUGAGAGACUUGGAUCUUAUGGAAAGAGACCAACCUGCUAGAUAGAUUUGAAUGUGGAUUUGGAAGGGAAUGGAGGGGAUCAGUUGGACGGAAAAAUGAUGAAUGCUGAGCAGAGUGAAUUAACAAAGAAAUUUGCCGAAUGUAAUUAAGAACAGAGUCUGGGUAAAGCACAUCUUAACAGGAAACGGGCUAGUAAGAGACAUUAUGGAGGUAAGAUUUCAAGGAAAAAGAGAAUGAGGAAGGAAGAGAAUAUCAAUGUUGGAUGGCUUGAAAAUUUAAGGGAGUUAUUGGCAAAUGAAAAGACUGGCACAGGAUAGAGAGAGUGGAAAGACAAUGAGGCAAGGGCCCACCUUCAGGCAGAGUACACAUGAUGAUGAAUGACAAAAACAAAGUAAAAAUAAGAGUUAGCGAUGAACAACUGGGAUUUUUGUUCUGGUAAUGGUAGAUUGGUCUUCAUUUUAGAAUAAAAGUAUUAAGUUGUCCAAGUUUUAUUACAAAAUAAAAGUUAUUCAUAACAGUACAAUGGUCUUUAUUUAGCUAAUGAUUGUUCACAUUGGAAGAGUGCAGUCAAAUCUCUGGUCUCUGCAUUGCACAAUAGAAUGUUGAACACUGUAGACUCAAAAUAAUAUUAGUUAAGUUGAGGUUUGAUGAAAUGAGUUUGGUUUUGCUAAAAUGCUUGAAAGAAAUUAGAAGCCAAUGCAUUUCUUCCCAACCCUCCUGAGGUUUGCGAAGGAUGAACUGUUAAAGGAAGUGGGGAGAACCAUUGCACUCUUAUUUGACUGCACAACCCUGGAAAGCUUACACAGCUGUGGAGUUAUAUACUCAGUGUGAAUGCAAUGCAGCUGAUUGGCCACGCUGUUGGUCCUAUAGAGUAUAAACAUUUCAGCUGUGAUCGGUGUGGCCAGGCAUCAUUAGUAGCAAUUAAUUAGUUUGAGUCAAUAAUAUUAAACAAUGAGCACUGCAUGUAUUUAUGCUUACUUGUGCACUGUAAUUACUGUACUCAUUUUAUGGCAUGUACUGCAGGUUUUUGAUGAGCUAGCUUAUCUUCAGCGCCUCAUCCAGUUAUGGUAAGCAAAACUAAGAAGUCAUAAAGAUUUUGUAAUUGAACAGAAUCAGAUUUCACUCCAAGCGUUUUAUAUGCCAUGUUAACUCUUAGUACACAAAUAAAAACUACCUUCCUAA
This is a long non-coding RNA of Carcharodon carcharias (great white shark), 1852 nucleotides long. RefSeq lists it as uncharacterized. The record is from RefSeq and is a predicted model, not a curated record. Lineage: Eukaryota; Metazoa; Chordata; Chondrichthyes; Lamniformes; Lamnidae. The transcript has 2 exons.